CAGCUGGAAACAUUGUCAAUUUCUUCAGACGAUCUAGUGGAGUGGACUGAGAUUGUUAAUGGGGCCUUUCCAAGUUUGAGGAGGCUUAAGUUUGAAUUUUGUCCAAAUUUGAGGUUUUUUCCCGAAGGUUUGCAGCACAUCUCUACGAUUCAAGAACUUCGUUUAUGGAAUUCGCAUGGGGACCUGGCAAGAAAAUUGAGAGGCGUAGAAAAUUAC
This 216-nucleotide unclassified non-coding RNA is filed under the name Hevea brasiliensis (rubber tree). The record is from RNAcentral. Lineage: Eukaryota; Viridiplantae; Streptophyta; Magnoliopsida; Malpighiales; Euphorbiaceae.